Molecule: ribosomal RNA, 279 nt
Filed under: uncultured Staphylococcus sp.
Lineage: Bacteria; Bacillati; Bacillota; Bacilli; Caryophanales; Staphylococcaceae
Description: partial 16S ribosomal RNA
Rfam family: Bacterial small subunit ribosomal RNA
Source: RNAcentral
CCUUUGACGUUAGCGGCGGACGGGUGAGUAACACGUGGGUAACCUACCUAUAAGACUGGGAUAACUUCGGGAAACCGGAGCUAAUACCGGAUAAUAUUUAGAACCGCAUGGUUCGAUAGUGAAAGGUGGUUUUGCUAUCACUUAUAGAUGGACCCGCGCCGUAUUAGCUAGUUGGUAAGGUAACGGCUUACCAAGGCGACGAUACGUAGCCGACCUGAGAGGGUGAUCGGCCACACUGGAACUGAGACACGGUCCAGACUCCUACGGGAGGCAGCAGCA